This is a non-coding RNA of Schizosaccharomyces pombe (fission yeast), 203 nucleotides long. NCBI's taxonomy places the organism in Eukaryota, Fungi, Ascomycota, Schizosaccharomycetes, Schizosaccharomycetales, Schizosaccharomycetaceae. The record is from the annotation of a GenBank genome assembly.
UAAUAAAAAUAUAACGAGUGAGUUACAAACACGGUUGGUUGUAAGAUAGGAAAAAACGAUUAGGCUCUCUGGAUAUCUACUGAUAUUUCCCAUUUGGGUUGAACACCAGCACCAAAUAUGCUUCCUACUGUUUUUUGUAUAAUCCUUAUAAUAUCUUCACGAACUGCUGCCUGCUCUCGUUCACCUCCUGAAACGGUUAAGCC